RNAcentral lists this ribosomal RNA (528 nucleotides) under uncultured fungus. Its description in RNAcentral is "SSU rRNA". It matches the Rfam family "Eukaryotic small subunit ribosomal RNA", at positions 288 to 822 of the family's 1831-position model. The record is from RNAcentral. Lineage: Eukaryota; Fungi.
CGAUGGUUCAUUCAAAUUUCUGCCCUAUCAACUUUCGAUGGUAGAGUAGUGGUCUACCAUGGUUUCAACGGGUAACGGGGAAUUAGGGUUCUAUUCCGGAGAGGGAGCCUGAGAAACGGCUACCACAUCCAAGGAAGGCAGCAGGCGCGCAAAUUACCCAAUCCCGACACGGGGAGGUAGUGACAAUAAAUACUGAUACAGGGCUCUUUUGGGUCUUGUAAUUGGAAUGAGUACAAUUUAAAUCCCUUAACGAGGAACAAUUGGAGGGCAAGUCUGGUGCCAGCAGCCGCGGUAAUUCCAGCUCCAAUAGCGUAUAUUAAAGUUGUUGCAGUUAAAAAGCUCGUAGUUGAACCUUGGGCCUGGCUGGCCGGUCCGCCUCACCGCGUGCACUGGUCCGGCCGGGCCUUUCCUUCUGGAGAGCCGCAUGCCCUUCACUGGGUGUGUCGGGGAACCAGGACUUUUACUUUGAAAAAAUUAGAGUGUUCAAAGCAGGCCUAUGCUCGAAUACAUUAGCAUGGAAUAAUAGAA